CGAUUUAUAUGCUAAAUAUAACUUGACUUUUAAUCAAGUUGUCCCGGGUUCGAGUCCCGGGUGUCUCA
RNAcentral lists this transfer RNA (68 nucleotides) under Bacteriophage sp. RNAcentral's name for it is "tRNA-Lys". It matches the Rfam family "tRNA". From Rfam's summary of the family: Transfer RNA (tRNA) molecules are approximately 80 nucleotides in length. Their secondary structure includes four short double-helical elements and three loops (D, anti-codon, and T loops). The record is from RNAcentral.